Mangifera indica (mango) is the source of this 124-nucleotide small nucleolar RNA. Lineage: Eukaryota; Viridiplantae; Streptophyta; Magnoliopsida; Sapindales; Anacardiaceae. The record is from RefSeq and is a predicted model, not a curated record.
ACCAAUUCUGGGGGAUAACUGGUUCCUCUCGGUAUAAUGGCUCGGGCGCCAUAUUUAUUUAGUGUGGCUAUCCUGAUUGUUGGUUUUUCAAUGCCUUUUAAUCCUGGAAACACCACAUACAUUU